GAUGAACGCUGGCGGCGUGCCUAAUACAUGCAAGUCGAGCGAACAGACGAGGAGCUUGCUCCUCUGACGUUAGCGGCGGACGGGUGAGUAACACGUGGAUAACCUACCUAUAAGACUGGGAUAACUUCGGGAAACCGGAGCUAAUACCGGAUAAUAUAUUGAACCGCAUGGUUCAAUAGUGAAAGACGGUUUUGCUGUCACUUAUAGAUGGAUCCGCGCCGCAUUAGCUAGUUGGUAAGGUAACGGCCUACCAAGGCAACGAUGCGUGGCCGACCUGAGAGGGUGAUCGGCCACACGAGAACUGAGACACGGUCCAGACUCCUACGGGAGGCAGCAGUAGGGAAUCUUCCGCAAUGGGCGAAAGCCUGACGGAGCAACGCCGCGUGAGUGAUGAAGGUCUUCGGAUCGUAAAACUCUGUUAUUAGGGAAGAACAAAUGUGUAAGUAACUAUGCACGUCUUGACGGUACCUAAUCAGAAAGCCACGGCUAACUACGUG
RNAcentral lists this ribosomal RNA (497 nucleotides) under uncultured bacterium. Its description in RNAcentral is "partial 16S ribosomal RNA". It matches the Rfam family "Bacterial small subunit ribosomal RNA", at positions 28 to 507 of the family's 1533-position model. The record is from RNAcentral.